RNAcentral lists this ribosomal RNA (463 nucleotides) under uncultured bacterium. Its description in RNAcentral is "bacterial SSU rRNA". It matches the Rfam family "Bacterial small subunit ribosomal RNA", at positions 28 to 523 of the family's 1533-position model. The record is from RNAcentral.
GAUGAACGCUGGCGAAAUGCUUUACACAUGCAAGUCGUACGAAAGCUUUUAGCUUAAGUGGCGGACGGGUGAGUAAUACGUAAGAAUUUGCCUUUAGGAGGGGGAUAACAGCUGGAAACGGUUGCUAAUACCCCAUAUGCUUUUAAGUGAAAUGGGUUUCCGCCUAAAGAAAAGCUUACGGCUGAUUAGCUUGUUGGUAAGGUAAUGGCUUACCAAGGCGACAAUCAGUAUCUGGUUUGAGAGGAUGAUCAGACACACUGGAACUGAGACACGGUCCAGACUCCUACGGGAGGCAGCAGUGGGGAAUUUCCGCAAUGGCGCAAGCCUGACGGAGCAAUUCGCGUGAAGGAUGACGGCCUAUGGGUUGUAAACUGCUUUUACGGGAUAAACACAUCUACGAGUAGAUGUCUGAAGGUACCGUAUGAAUAAGGAUCGGCUAACUCCGUGCCAGCCGCCGCGGUAA